RNAcentral lists this ribosomal RNA (424 nucleotides) under uncultured bacterium. RNAcentral describes it as "bacterial SSU rRNA". It matches the Rfam family "Bacterial small subunit ribosomal RNA", at positions 355 to 796 of the family's 1533-position model. The record is from RNAcentral.
UGGGGAAUAUUGGACAAUGGGGGCAACCCUGAUCCAGCAAUGCCGCGUGUGUGAAGAAGGUCUUCGGAUUGUAAAGCACUUUUGGCAGGGACGAUGAUGACGGUACCUGCAGAAUAAGCCCCGGCUAACUUCGUGCCAGCAGCCGCGGUAAUACGAAGGGGGCUAGCGUUGCUCGGAAUGACUGGGCGUAAAGGGCGCGUAGGCGGUUUGCACAGUCAGAAGUGAAAUUCCUGGGCUCAACCUGGGGACUGCUUUUGAUACGUGCGGACUAGAGUGGGGAAGAGGGUUGUGGAAUUUCCAGUGUAGAGGUGAAAUUCGUAGAUAUUGGAAAGAACACCGGUGGCGAAGGCGGCAACCUGGUCCUUGACUGACGCUGAGGCGCGAAAGCGUGGGGAGCAAACAGGAUUAGAUACCCCCGUAGUCC